RNAcentral lists this ribosomal RNA (497 nucleotides) under uncultured bacterium. RNAcentral describes it as "partial 16S ribosomal RNA". It matches the Rfam family "Bacterial small subunit ribosomal RNA", at positions 28 to 507 of the family's 1533-position model. The record is from RNAcentral.
GACGAACGCUGGCGGCGUGCCUAAUACAUGCAAGUUGAGCGCUGAAGGUUGGUACUUGUACCAACUGGAUGAGCAGCGAACGGGUGAGUAACGCGUGGGGAAUCUGCCUUUGAGCGGGGGACAACAUUUGGAAACGAAUGCUAAUACCGCAUAAAAACUUUAAACACAAGUUUUGAGUUUGAAAGAUGCAAUUACAUCACUCAAAGAUGAUCCCGCGUUGUAUUAGCUAGUUGGUGAGGUAAAGGCUCACCAAGGCGAUGAUACAUAGCCGACCUGAGAGGGUGAUCGGCCACAUUGGGACUGAGACACGGCCCAAACUCCUACGGGAGGCAGCAGUAGGGAAUCUUCGGCAAUGGACGAAAGUCUGACCGAGCAACGCCGCGUGAGUGAAGAAGGUUUUCGGAUCGUAAAACUCUGUUGGUAGAGAAGAACGUUGGUGAGAGUGGAAAGCUCAUCAAGUGACGGUAACUACCCAGAAAGGGACGGCUAACUACGUG